This 455-nucleotide ribosomal RNA is filed under the name Hyloscirtus jahni. RNAcentral's name for it is "partial 12S ribosomal RNA". It matches the Rfam family "Bacterial small subunit ribosomal RNA", at positions 875 to 1521 of the family's 1533-position model. Lineage: Eukaryota; Metazoa; Chordata; Amphibia; Anura; Hylidae. The record is from RNAcentral.
GGGAACUACGAGCAAAGCUUAAAACCCAAAGGACUUGACGGUACCCCACAUCCACCUAGAGGAGCCUGUUCUUUAAUCGAUUAUCCACGUUUAACCUCACCAUUUUUAGUUUAUCAGUUUGUAUACCUCCGUCGUAAGUUCACCGCAUGAGCGCAAUAAAGUGAGCUUAAUGUUCAAAUCCUCAUCAACACGUCAGGUCAAGGUGCAACUAAUAAAAUGGGAAGAAAUGGGCUACACUUUCUAAUGUAGAACACACAAAAAACCAACUGAAACAAUAGUUAGAAGGCGGAUUUAGAAGUAAAAAAAACUAGAGAACUUUUUUUAAUUAGGCACUGGGGUGUGUACACACCGCCCGUCACCCUCUUCGUAGCUUAACUAAAGUUCUUAACAAAUAAACGCACAGUAGAAGAGGUAAGUCGUAACACGGUAAGUAUACCGGAAGGUGUGCUUGGGAA